GAAUCUUCCGCAAUGCACGAAAGUGUGACGGAGCAAUGCCGCGUGCAGGAUGAAGCCCCUCGGGGUGUAAACUGCUGUCAGGGUUUAGGAACACAAUGACCAGACCCAAAGGAAGAGGCGACUAACUCUGUGCCAGCAGUCGCGGUAAUACAGAGGCCUCGAGCGUUAAUCGGAAUCACUGGGCUUAAAGCGUACGUAGGCGGGCGCGCAGGCAUCUUGUGAAAUCCCACGGCUUAACCGUGGAACGGCUUGGUGAACCGCGCGUCUAGAGUCAGGUAGGGGCCGCCGGAACGAUAGGUGGAGCGGUGAAAUGCGUUGAUAUCUAUCGGAACGCCAAAGGUGAAGACAGGCGGCUGGGCCUGCACUGACGCUGAGGUACGAAAGCGUGGGGAGCAAACGGG
Molecule: ribosomal RNA, 401 nt
Filed under: uncultured bacterium
Lineage: Bacteria
Description: bacterial SSU rRNA
Rfam family: Bacterial small subunit ribosomal RNA
Source: RNAcentral